ACCAGACUCCUACGGGAGGCAGCAGUGAGGAAUAUUGGUCAAUGGUCGGGAGACUGAACCAGCCAAGCCGCGUGAGGGAGGAAGGUACAGAGUAUCGUAAACCUCUUUUGUCAGGGAACAAAGACUGGGACGCGUCCCCGGAUGAGUGUACCUGAAGAAAAAGCAUCGGCUAACUCCGUGCCAGCAGCCGCGGUAAUACGGAGGAUGCGAGCGUUAUCCGGAUUUAUUGGGUUUAAAGGGUGCGUAGGCGGUCCGGAAAGUCAGCGGUAAAAGCCCGGGGCUCAACCCCGCCCAGCCGUCGGAACUGCCGGGCUAGAGUGGGCGAGAAGUGCGCGGAAUGCGUGGUGUAGCGGUGAAAUGCAUAGAUAUCACGCAGAACUCCGAUUGCGAAGGCAGCAUACCGGCGCCCAACUGACGCUCAGGCACGAAAGCGUGGGUAUCGAACAGGAUUAGAUACCCCUGUAC
This 465-nucleotide ribosomal RNA is filed under the name uncultured bacterium. RNAcentral describes it as "bacterial SSU rRNA". It matches the Rfam family "Bacterial small subunit ribosomal RNA", at positions 330 to 793 of the family's 1533-position model. The record is from RNAcentral.